RNAcentral lists this transfer RNA (73 nucleotides) under Argentina striata (striated argentine). Its description in RNAcentral is "tRNA-Asp". It matches the Rfam family "tRNA". From Rfam's summary of the family: Transfer RNA (tRNA) molecules are approximately 80 nucleotides in length. Their secondary structure includes four short double-helical elements and three loops (D, anti-codon, and T loops). Further hydrogen bonds mediate the characteristic L-shaped molecular structure. tRNAs have two regions of fundamental functional importance: the anti-codon, which is responsible for specific mRNA codon recognition, and the 3' end, to which the tRNAs corresponding amino acid is attached (by aminoacyl-tRNA synthetases). tRNAs cope with the degeneracy of the genetic code in two manners: having more than one tRNA (with a specific anti-codon) for a particular amino acid; and 'wobble' base-pairing, i.e. permitting non-standard base-pairing at the 3rd anti-codon position. Lineage: Eukaryota; Metazoa; Chordata; Actinopteri; Argentiniformes; Argentinidae. The record is from RNAcentral.
GAGACACUAGUAGAAUAUGUCACUACAUUGCCUUGUCAAGGCAAAAUUGUGGGUUAAAUCCCCACGUGCCUCG